RNAcentral lists this ribosomal RNA (471 nucleotides) under Acinetobacter baumannii. RNAcentral describes it as "bacterial SSU rRNA". It matches the Rfam family "Bacterial small subunit ribosomal RNA", at positions 63 to 527 of the family's 1533-position model. Lineage: Bacteria; Pseudomonadati; Pseudomonadota; Gammaproteobacteria; Moraxellales; Moraxellaceae. The record is from RNAcentral.
CGAGCGGGGGAAGGUAGCUUGCUACCGGACCUAGCGGCGGACGGGUGAGUAAUGCUUAGGAAUCUGCCUAUUAGUGGGGGACAACAUCUCGAAAGGGAUGCUAAUACCGCAUACGUCCUACGGGAGAAAGCAGGGGAUCUUCGGACCUUGCGCUAAUAGAUGAGCCUAAGUCGGAUUAGCUAGUUGGUGGGGUAAAGGCCUACCAAGGCGACGAUCUGUAGCGGGUCUGAGAGGAUGAUCCGCCACACUGGGACUGAGACACGGCCCAGACUCCUACGGGAGGCAGCAGUGGGGAAUAUUGGACAAUGGGGGGAACCCUGAUCCAGCCAUGCCGCGUGUGUGAAGAAGGCCUUAUGGUUGUAAAGCACUUUAAGCGAGGAGGAGGCUACUCUAGUUAAUACCUAGGGAUAGUGGACGUUACUCGCAGAAUAAGCACCGGCUAACUCUGUGCCAGCAGCCGCCGGUAAUAAA